RNAcentral lists this ribosomal RNA (433 nucleotides) under uncultured bacterium. Its description in RNAcentral is "partial 16S ribosomal RNA". It matches the Rfam family "Bacterial small subunit ribosomal RNA", at positions 29 to 507 of the family's 1533-position model. The record is from RNAcentral.
AACGAACGCUGGCGGCAUGCCUAACACAUGCAAGUCGAACGAGACCGUCGGGCCUUGGGGCGGACGGGGGCGUAACGCGGGGGAAGCUGCCCGUAAGUUACGAAUAACUCACCGAAGGGGAACCUAAUACCGGAGAAGGUCUUCGGACCAACGAUGUAUGGCGUUUGGGUGGGGCCGCGUUGGUUUAGCGAGUUGGUAGGGGAAAAGCCUACCAAGGCGACGAUCCAUAGCUGGUCUGGGAGGAGGCUAAGCUACACUGGGACUGCGACACGGACUAGAACGGUACGGAGGGGAGCAGUGUAGAACAUUGGACGAGGGGCGCAAGUCUGAUACCGCCACGCGGCGUGAGAGAUGCAUGGCUUAGUGUUGUAAAGCCCUUUUACCCGGGAUGAGAAUGACGGUACCGGGUGAAGAAGCACCGGCUAACUCCGUG